GUCUUCUCCACCAAACAUUAUGAUUUUGGAACCAAAAAGAGUUGCUGAAUGUCCAGCACGAGCAAUCGGAAUGUUUCCAGCAGUCUCCAUAACACUCCAUGUGUGUGUUUUUAGAUCAAUGCAAUGAACCAAAAUUCUAUCGGAUGAUCCUUUUAAAUUUCCACCAAGCACGAUGAGUUUCUUAUCCCAUCUGACCAUACUAUG
This 204-nucleotide unclassified non-coding RNA is filed under the name Hevea brasiliensis (rubber tree). The record is from RNAcentral. Lineage: Eukaryota; Viridiplantae; Streptophyta; Magnoliopsida; Malpighiales; Euphorbiaceae.